GAUGAACGCUGGCGGCGUGCCUAAUACAUGCAAGUCGAGCGAACAGACGAGGAGCUUGCUCCUCUGACGUUAGCGGCGGACGGGUGAGUAACACGUGGAUAACCUACCUAUAAGACUGGGAUAACUUCGGGAAACCGGAGCUAAUACCGGAUAACAUGUUGAACCGCAUGGUUCAACAGUGAAAGACGGUCUUGCUGUCACUUAUAGAUGGAUCCGCGCCGCAUUAGCUAGUUGGUAAGGUAACGGCUUACCAAGGCAACGAUGCGUAGCCGACCUGAGAGGGUGAUCGGCCACACUGGAACUGAGACACGGUCCAGACUCCUACGGGAGGCAGCAGUAGGGAAUCUUCCGCAAUGGGCGAAAGCCUGACGGAGCAACCCCGCGUGAGUGAAGAAGGUCUUCGGAUCGUAAAACUCUGUUAUUAGGGAAGAACAAAUGUGUAAGUAACUAUGCACGUCUUGACGGUACCUAAUCAGAAAGCCACGGCUAACUACGUG
RNAcentral lists this ribosomal RNA (497 nucleotides) under uncultured bacterium. RNAcentral describes it as "partial 16S ribosomal RNA". It matches the Rfam family "Bacterial small subunit ribosomal RNA", at positions 28 to 507 of the family's 1533-position model. The record is from RNAcentral.